This 393-nucleotide ribosomal RNA is filed under the name uncultured bacterium. RNAcentral's name for it is "partial 16S ribosomal RNA". It matches the Rfam family "Bacterial small subunit ribosomal RNA", at positions 523 to 918 of the family's 1533-position model. The record is from RNAcentral.
AUACGGAGGAUGCGAGCGUUAUCCGGAUUUAUUGGGUUUAAAGGGUGCGUAGGUGGUAGAUUAAGUCAGCGGUGAAAGUUUGUCGCUCAACGAUAAAAUUGCCGUUGAUACUGGUUUACUUGAGUAUAGUUGAAGUAGGCGGAAUGCGUGGUGUAGCGGUGAAAUGCUUAGAUAUCACGAAGAACUCCGAUCGCGAAGGCAGCUCACCGGGCCGGAACUGACACUGAUGCUCGAAAGUGCGGGUAUCAAACAGGAUUAGAUACCCUGGUAGUCCGCACAGUAAACGAUGAAUACUCGCUGUUUGCGAUACACUGUAAGCGGCCAAGCGAAAGCGUUAAGUAUUCCACCUGGGGAGUACGCCGGCAACGGUGAAACUCAAAUGAAUUGGCGGGG